RNAcentral lists this long non-coding RNA (1102 nucleotides) under Nicotiana benthamiana. RNAcentral's name for it is "long non-coding RNA (NBEN_LNC007967)". Lineage: Eukaryota; Viridiplantae; Streptophyta; Magnoliopsida; Solanales; Solanaceae. The record is from RNAcentral.
GAAAUUUGUGAGACAAAAAGGUGUCUCAUACAAUUACUGUAAGUUGUAUAAGACACAAAAUAAAAUUUCUUUACAUUAAUAGUAACUAUAAUGAAGUUUAAGCAAAAUGUAAAGACUUUUGACUAAUAAUUCCUAUAGUCUGAUACCUGCAGAAAGCUAGCUAGUCUGCUAGUGCAAGGGAUUCAAGAAAUAAAGCGCAGUUUGGUGCACUAAGCUUUUGCAAUGUGUGAUGUUCGAGGAAUGGUCUGACCAUAAGGGCCUAUCAUACGUAAUCUUACCCUACAUUUAUGCAAGAAAUUAUUUUCACGAAUCGAACCCGUGACCUCCUGCGCAACUUUACCAACCACGCCAAGGCUCCUCUUCAAGGGAUUCAAGAAAUGAAAGAUUAAAUCUCUUCAAAGAUCAGAUGGAAGUUGCCUCCAAGCGCUAGCCCAGGCAAAUCAACUUAUCUGAGAUGAUCAAGAAGACUCUCAAACCAUAAGAAAAAAAAAGAAAAUGUGAAUAAACAUGGAUUUUGUGAAUCCUUUCUUAGUAGAAAAUGCCAAUAUUGUUGAACCCCUGAUCAUGAGGUUCUUUGGCAAGAUUAAUGACAGAUAUCUGAGAAGUGAGCACUAUAUAUCCUAAGCAUCUUGAUUGACGUACAAGUCUAACCUGCACAACCAAAUAUGGUCCGACCCUUUCCCUGACUCCAUACAUAAUGGAAGCUCAGUGCACCAAGUUGCAUUUGAUGUAACAUGGAUAAAUAUACUAAUUUACAUCAACCUUUCAAAAGCAAUAUAUAUACAUAAUGCAAAAGUUGAAUGUACUCGUAUCCAACAUGCAUGUACCUGUACCCAACACCACUACAAGCCCGAGUGCAUGUCACAUAGAAGGAAGGAAGCUACAUGAUUGUAGUCGCCGGAUGCUGAUAUCUCCAAGUUGACCAUAAUAGAUCAAUAUAUAGGCAAAACAAUUUAUAAUAGUCUGUUCUCGCCUAUUGAUAGUCCAAACUCAAAACUAAACUGUUCUUCCGUUCCUUAUCAAUUAGCCAGCAUCAUUAAUGAUUUCCUUUAGGGACUGGAAGAUAAUUAAACUGAGUCUAAUUAUUGUUCAUCUUCCUAGU